RNAcentral lists this ribosomal RNA (459 nucleotides) under uncultured bacterium. Its description in RNAcentral is "partial 16S ribosomal RNA". It matches the Rfam family "Bacterial small subunit ribosomal RNA", at positions 338 to 795 of the family's 1533-position model. The record is from RNAcentral.
CCUACGGGUGGCAGCAGUGAGGAAUAUUGGUCAAUGGACGCAAGUCUGAACCAGCCAUGCCGCGUGCAGGAAGACGGCUCUAUGAGUUGUAAACUGCUUUUGUACGGGGGUAAAUCCCGCUACGUGUAUCGGUUUGAAUGUAUCGUACGAAUAAGGAUCUGCUAACUCCGUGCCAGCAGCCGCGGUAAUACGGAGGAUUCAAGCGUUAUCCGGAUUUGUUGGGUUUAAAGGGUGCGUAGGCGGUUCGAAAGUUAGAGGUGAAAUCCCGGGGCUGAACUCCGGCACGGACGUUGAUACUGUCGGGCUAGAGUGUAGUUGCGGUAGGCGGAAUGUAUGGUGGAGCGGUGAAAUGCAUAGAGACCAUACAGAACACCGAUUGCGAAGGCAGCUUACCAAACUACGACUGACGUUGAGGCUCGAAAGCAUGGGUAGCGAACAGGAUUAGAUACCCCAGUAGUC